UGAUUAUGUCCAUGGAGGUGCA
This 22-nucleotide unclassified non-coding RNA is filed under the name Mus musculus (house mouse). RNAcentral's name for it is "oocyte_clustered_small_RNA10037". Lineage: Eukaryota; Metazoa; Chordata; Mammalia; Rodentia; Muridae. The record is from RNAcentral.